This 2659-nucleotide long non-coding RNA is filed under the name Mytilus galloprovincialis (Mediterranean mussel). Lineage: Eukaryota; Metazoa; Mollusca; Bivalvia; Mytilida; Mytilidae. The record is from RNAcentral.
GAUAUUUCCUUUUAUAACUAACUUAAUCCUCACAUCACAUAUUAGCCACACCAUCGAUUGAUACCAAACAUUUUAUGAACACAGUGUUCUUAUAAUCCAUGCACUGAAACUGUAAGUAUAUACUUAAAACACUUAUGAAAAAUUCCGAACAGAUACAGUACUGACUUAAUCAGUAUUAUAAUGAAACAGUCCUGACGAAAUCAGGACUGAAACAGUACUGACAAAAUCAGUACUGAAACAGUACUGACGAAAUCAGUAUUUAAACAGUAUUUAAACAGUCCUGACGAAAUCAGUACUGAAACAGUACUGACGAAAUCAGUAUUUAAACAGUAUUUAAACAGUACUGAAAAAUCAGUACUGACGAAAUCAGUAUUUAAACAGUAUUUAAACAGUACUGAAAAAUUAGUAAAUGUACCGGUUUUGUAUAAUAAUUAACAGUACAUUACAAGUUUUCAGUCUUGUUGAACAGCACUGAUAUGUAUGAGGGUAGAAAUGUACGAAAAAAACGUGGUACAAUUUAUGGUAGUGUAUUGUAGUCCGUUGUUUAUUGAUGUUUAUCAUCGUUUCGUUUGUUUCAUGUUCCUAUUCUAACAUCAAACUUUUUAAACUGACUUUUACUGUUUGUUUGUUUAUUUCACAUUGGCCAGAGGAUUAUGUGGAUGGUUUGGAUCACACAAAACAUUCCCCCUCCUUUAUUGCUCCAGUCCCAAGCAACCUGUAGCCGUUGAAAUAGUUUUUUUUUCUUUUAAUAUUACUAAUAUUCGUUUUAAUUUGUAUUUUUCGGAGUUAAUUGUGGCAUCUGUUUUACCGAAUUGGACGAAUGCCUCCUGGUAUGGUAUUUGCAUGCUACGUUAAAGCCUAAUCGGAGCUCUAUUCUAGGAUCUACAAAAAAUCAAACUUACUGACACCAUUUGAUAACGUCGUGGGGAUGCAUUGCCCUAGUAAUAUGCUAUUUGUUAUUUCUUUAGUUUUAGGCAAAUUUGAUUAUCGAUAAAUAGAAGCAAACAUUAUCAGUCUCUUGUAGACAGUUGUCUCAUUGGCAAUCAUACCGCAUCUGGAAAUGGGAAAUGUGUUAAAGAGACAACAACCCGACCAUAUAACAGACAACAGCAGCAGGUCACCAAUAGGUCUUCAAUGCAGCGAGAAAUUCCCGUACCCGGAGGCGUCCUUCAGCUGGCCCUUGAAUAAAUAUAUAUAUACUUGUUCAGUGAUAUGAACGCCAUACUAAACUCCAAAUUAUACACAAGAAACUAAAAAUAAUACUAACAAGACUAACAAAGGCCAGAGGCUCCUGACUUGGACAGGCGCAAAAUUUGCGGCGGGGUUAAACAUGUUUAUUGAGAUCUCAACCUCCCUUAUACCUACAGACAAGUAGAAAAGUAAAUGCAUAACAAUACGCACAUUAAAUUUCAGUUCAAGAAAAGUCCGAGUCUGACGUCAGAAGAUGUAACAAAAGAAACUAAACAAACUUACAAUAAUACAUAAAUAACAACAGACUACUAGCAGUUAACUAACAUGCCAGCUCCAGACUUCAAUUAAAACUAAAGAAAGUUAUGUCUCAUCAUAUGAAUAUCAGGCACAACCAUCCAGUAAGGGGUUAGUAUCAUACCAUCAUAACAUAUAUGAGAAGAACACAACCCGUGUCAUGCAAACAACUGGUUUUUGAAUAAAUGUGUUAAGUUCCGAUGCAAAGACCCUAUAUUUGAAUCAAUAUUAAAGCCAAAAUAUGCCAUCUUUAAUUACCUGACAAAAGUAUCGUAACUAUAUCCCUUCUUAAUAAGUAUAUUUAUAUAUACAGGUUUUGUUAGCUUCUGAGGUGAAAACUGACAUUUUUUGUGCUUUAUAAAGAAUAUUAUCAUAAAAGAUUGGAUGUGAGAUACCUGAACGUAUAAGAAGUCUGCAUGUAGAGUUAUAUUUAUGAAUGAUGUCUUGUACUGACGAUAAAAUUUAAAUAAAUGUUUUGACUAGUUUGUUAUAUCGAAAACCCUGGUGUAAUAAUUUUUCAGUCAUACAUAAAUUUCUCUCGUUGAAAUCUAAAGCCUUUUUUAAGUGAUUUUUAUAGUUGUUCUUAUGUUGUACUGUAACUUCACUGUUUAUGAGGGGGGGUUGGAACAUGUGGAGCAGGAUCUGCUUACCUUUCUGGAGCACCUGACAUGACCCCCAGUUUUUGAUGGGGUUCGUGCUGCUUAGUCUCUAAUCCUAUAUGUUUUGUCUUCUAUACUUUUAUUUGUCUGUUUUUUUUAUUUAUAGCCAUGGCGUUGUCAGUUUAUUUUCAAUCUAUGAGUAUGACUGUCCCUCUGGUAUCUGUCAUCCCUCUUUUUCAUUCGAAAUGUCAAACUAUAUUGUUACGCUACCGUAUUUCCUCUACACGCUAUUUCCAAAUUAAAAAAAAAGAUCCAUUCAUGAUAUAAGAUAUAAAGAAGAUACUGCAUUAACUGACAGAAGAAUUCCUUGAAGUCACAGAGGUAAACAUUAAUAUGUUCUUAUGUUAUUUGUUCAUAGUGUUGUUAUUUUGGUUUGUUAUAUUUUUGAACUAUUAUAAUGAUAACUAGUACUCCAUUUCAGAAUGUCUCCAUUCAGCUUUGCCACCGUCAUCGUUGCCUUUGUAGUCAGUUCUUAUGGACACUAUUGUACAAAAUACAGCCUGACACCAUCAGAC